This 410-nucleotide long non-coding RNA is filed under the name Vigna radiata. RNAcentral's name for it is "long non-coding RNA (VRAD_LNC010435)". Lineage: Eukaryota; Viridiplantae; Streptophyta; Magnoliopsida; Fabales; Fabaceae. The record is from RNAcentral.
UGGUUGAAUGACACUGAUGAAUCGAGAGCGAAGAAGAGAAGAAAAAUGAUUGAUUGAACGACGAACUUUGAACGAGAGUGAGAAAGAGAGGCGAAAGAGAAAGUAGGGUUGAAACUAGAGGAAAAGAGAAUGAAAAUAUGAUAGAGAGAGAUAUUAUUUCAAGUUUCUAAAAACCAGUGAUAAUACAUUAAAAAAAACAUCACAUUAUGACAGGUGCCAAAACUUCUCGUAAUAUGUUUUCAAUUUAUUUACAAUUUUGCCACCGCAUUUAAUAUUAUGACGAAUAUCUAUAACUUUGUUAUAAUAUGUUUUUAACUUAUUUACAAAUUUGCCACCGUGUUACAUAUUAUAAUAGAUAUAUAAAAAUACCGUCAUAAUACAUCUUACUUUUAUUACAAUUUUGUCCCCGG